This 253-nucleotide ribosomal RNA is filed under the name uncultured bacterium. RNAcentral describes it as "partial 16S ribosomal RNA". It matches the Rfam family "Bacterial small subunit ribosomal RNA", at positions 524 to 776 of the family's 1533-position model. The record is from RNAcentral.
UACGUAAGGAGCAAGCGUUGUCCGGAAUCAUUGGGCGUAAAGGGCUUGUAGGUGGUUUGUCACGUCUGUCGUGAAAUCCUGUGGCUUAACCAUGGACUUGCGGUGGGUACGGGCAGGCUAGAGUGCGGUAGGGGAGGGUGGAAUUCCUGGUGUAGCGGUGAAAUGCGUAGAUAUCAGGAGGAACACCGGUGGCGAAGGCGGCUCCCUGGGCCGUUACUGACACUGAGGAGCGAAAGCGUGGGGAGCAAACAGG